ACCCGGGAAAGUAAUUAAUAUCAAUAACAAAGUACCUAUUCCCAUCUCUACUAUCCCUAAUCAAAUCGAAGUUAAAAAGCCUAAGCCCCAUUGCCUCCCUCAACCCUUUGGCUAACUCCAUCACAAACUCCAAAGGUGGCAUUUCCGCCUUCUCCACGAGCUCAUCCACUUCAGAGCAACAAAAUCCCUUCCCUUUAUUUCUCGCAAUAACAGCCUUCUC
Quercus robur (English oak) is the source of this 220-nucleotide long non-coding RNA. RefSeq lists it as uncharacterized. The transcript is spliced from 2 exons. NCBI's taxonomy places the organism in Eukaryota, Viridiplantae, Streptophyta, Magnoliopsida, Fagales, Fagaceae. The record is from RefSeq and is a predicted model, not a curated record.